Molecule: ribosomal RNA, 253 nt
Filed under: uncultured bacterium
Lineage: Bacteria
Description: partial 16S ribosomal RNA
Rfam family: Bacterial small subunit ribosomal RNA
Source: RNAcentral
UACGUAGGUGGCAAGCGUUGUCCGGAUUUACUGGGCGUAAAGAGCGCGCAGGCGGUCGUUCAAGUCGCGUGUGAAAGCCCCCGGCUCAACUGGGGAGGGUCACGCGAUACUGAUCGACUCGAAGGCAGGAGAGGGAAGUGGAAUUCCCGGUGUAGUGGUGAAAUGCGUAGAUAUCAGGAGGAACACCGGUGGUGUAGACGGCUUUCUGGACCGUAACUGACGCUGAAACACGAAAGCGUGGGUAGCAAACAGG